UUCUGCAAAAUUAUUAUGGUGGUUAUGCUCCUGUAAUUAGAUGUUAUCAUUUUAAGAAGAAGGGACAUACAAGAAAGGUAUGCCCUGAACGUCUGAAUAAUAAUGGCAGAAAGGAUAAUCGUAAUGCAAGCAUUAUGCAAGAUGAUUAUGAAUAAUAUGAUGUCCUGGUGGUUUCAAGCAGCGACUCUAGAAAGGAGUGGAUUAUAAAUUCAUGUUGUACUUGGCACACGACUCUAAACAAGGACGUGUUUGAGAAUAUAUGUGAUUAAUAUGAUG
RNAcentral lists this long non-coding RNA (276 nucleotides) under Lathyrus oleraceus (garden pea). RNAcentral's name for it is "Pisum sativum (pea) long non-coding RNA (PSAT_LNC017736)". Lineage: Eukaryota; Viridiplantae; Streptophyta; Magnoliopsida; Fabales; Fabaceae. The record is from RNAcentral.